Molecule: ribosomal RNA, 402 nt
Filed under: bacterium
Lineage: Bacteria
Description: partial 16S ribosomal RNA
Rfam family: Bacterial small subunit ribosomal RNA
Source: RNAcentral
UGGGGAAUUUUGCACAAUGGGGGAAACCCUGAUGCAGCGACGCCGCGUGAUUUAGAAGGCCUUCGGGUUGUAAAAAUCUUUUCUAUGGGAAGAAAAUGACAGUACUAUAGGAAUAAGGACCGGCUAAUUACGUGCCAGCAGCCGCGGUAAUACGUAAGGUCCGAGCGUUGUCCGGAAUCAUUGUGCGUAAAGGGUACGUAGGCGGGUAAGCAAGUUAGAAGUGAAAUCCUAUAGCUCAACUAUAGUAAGCUUUUAAAACUGCUCAUCUUGUGGUAUGGAAGGGAAAUUGGACUUCCUGGUGUAGCGGUGAAAUGCGCACAUAAUAAGAGGAAUACCGGUGGCGAAGGCGACUUUCUGGACAUAACCUGACGCAGAGGUACGAAAGCGUGAGUAGCAAGCACG